Non-coding RNA from Nicotiana tabacum (common tobacco), 113 nucleotides. Lineage: Eukaryota; Viridiplantae; Streptophyta; Magnoliopsida; Solanales; Solanaceae. The record is from RefSeq and is a predicted model, not a curated record.
AGAAAUUUCGAAUUUUGAGUAAUUCUGGUCACAUAAGAAAAUCAUUCCUAAGGCUUUUGAGGUCUUGGAAACAGUAUAUAACUCCAUCGACAAGGUUCGGAUAGACAGAGCGG